UAAGGAAUAUUGGUCAAUGGACGCAAGUCUGAACCAGCCAUGCCGCGUGAAGGAUGAAUGUCGUAAGAUUGUAAACUUCUUUUAUCUGGGACGAAAACGGGAUUUUUAUCUCAAUUGACGGUACCAGAGGAAUAAGCACCGGCUAACUCCGUGCCAGCAGCCGAGGUAAUACGGAGGGUGCGAGCGUUAUCCGGAUUUACUGGGUUUAAAGGGUGCGUAGGUGGGCUUAUAAGUCAGUGGUGAAAUCUCCGAGCUUAACUUGGAAACUGCCGUUGAUACUAUAGGUCUUGAAUUAUCUGGAGGUAAGCGGAAUAUGUCAUGUAGCGGUGAAAUGCUUAGAUAUGACAUAGAACACCAAUUGCGAAGGCAGCUUACUACAUAUAAAUUGACGCUGAGGCACGAAAGCGUGGGGAUCAAACA
This 420-nucleotide ribosomal RNA is filed under the name uncultured bacterium. RNAcentral's name for it is "bacterial SSU rRNA". It matches the Rfam family "Bacterial small subunit ribosomal RNA", at positions 355 to 774 of the family's 1533-position model. The record is from RNAcentral.